AUUGUCCUUCAGUUAGGCUGGCCCCAGAACAGGUGCUGCAUGGCUGUCGUCAGCUCGUGUCGUGAGAUGUUGGGUUAAGUCCCGCAACGAGCGCAACCCUCGCCCUUAGUUGCCAGCAUUUAGUUGGGCACUCUAAGGGGACUGCCGGUGAUAAGCCGAGAGGAAGGUGGGGAUGACGUCAAGUCCUCAUGGCCCUUACGGGCUGGGCUACACACGUGCUACAAUGGUGGUGACAGUGGGCAGCGAGACAGCGAUGUCGAGCUAAUCUCCAAAAGCCAUCUCAGUUCGGAUUGCACUCUGCAACUCGAGUGCAUGAAGUUGGAAUCGCUAGUAAUCGCAGAUCAGCAUG
Molecule: ribosomal RNA, 349 nt
Filed under: Ensifer meliloti
Lineage: Bacteria; Pseudomonadati; Pseudomonadota; Alphaproteobacteria; Hyphomicrobiales; Rhizobiaceae
Description: Sinorhizobium meliloti bacterial SSU rRNA
Rfam family: Bacterial small subunit ribosomal RNA
Source: RNAcentral